Molecule: ribosomal RNA, 273 nt
Filed under: uncultured bacterium
Lineage: Bacteria
Description: partial 16S ribosomal RNA
Rfam family: Bacterial small subunit ribosomal RNA
Source: RNAcentral
CUAACUACGUGCCAGCAGCCGCGGUAAUACGUAGGUUGCAAGCGUUGUCCGGAUUUAUUGGGCGUAAAGCGAGCGCAGGCGGUUUCUUAAGUCAGAGGUGAAAGGCUACGGCUCAACCGUAGUAAGCCUUUGAAACUGGGAAACUUGAGUGCAGGAGAGGAGAGUGGAAUUCCUAGUGUAGCGGUGAAAUGCGUAGAUAUUAGGAGGAACACCAGUUGCGAAGGCGGCUCUCUGGACUGUAACUGACACUGAGGCACGAAAGCGUGGGGAGCA